Molecule: ribosomal RNA, 497 nt
Filed under: uncultured bacterium
Lineage: Bacteria
Description: partial 16S ribosomal RNA
Rfam family: Bacterial small subunit ribosomal RNA
Source: RNAcentral
GAUGAACGCUGGCGGCGUGCCUAAUACAUGCAAGUCGAGCGAACAGACGAGGAGCUUGCUCCUCUGACGUUAGCGGCGGACGGGUGAGUAACACGUGGAUAACCUACCUAUAAGACUGGGAUAACUUCGGGAAACCGGAGCUAAUACCGGAUAAUAUCUUGAACCGCAUGGUUCAAUAGUGAAAGACGGUUUUGCUGUCACUUCUAGAUGGAUCCGCGCUGCAUUAGCUAGUUGGUAAGGUAACGGCUUACCAAGGCAACGAUGCGUAGCCGACCUGAGAGGGUGAUCGGCCACACUGGAACUGAGACACGGUCCAGACUCCUACGGGAGGCAGCAGUAGGGAAUCUGCCGCAAUGGGCGAAAGCCUGACGGAGCAACGCCGCGUGAGUGAUGAAGGUCUUCGGAGCGUAAAACUCUGUUAUUAGGGAAGAACAAAUGUGUAAGUAACUGUGCACGUCUUGACGGUACCUAAUCAGAAAGCCACGGCUAACUACGUG